Molecule: ribosomal RNA, 440 nt
Filed under: uncultured bacterium
Lineage: Bacteria
Description: partial 16S ribosomal RNA
Rfam family: Bacterial small subunit ribosomal RNA
Source: RNAcentral
CCUACGGGGGGCAGCAGUGGGGAAUAUUCCACAAUGGGGGAAACCCUGAUGCAGCGACGCCGCGUGAGUGAAGAAGUAUUUCGGUACGUAAAGCUCUAUCAGCAGGGAAGAAAAUGACGGUACCUGACUAAGAAGCCCCGGCUAACUACGUGCCAGCAGCCGCGGUAAUACGUAGGGGGCAAGCGUUAUCCGGAUUUACUGGGUGUAAAGGGAGCGUAGACGGCAGCGCAAGUCUGGAGUGAAAUCCCAUGGCUUAACCAUGGAACUGCUUUGGAAACUGUGCAGCUAGAGUGCAGGAGAGGUAAGCGGAAUUCCUAGUGUAGCGGUGAAAUGCGUAGAUAUUAGGAGGAACACCAGUGGCGAAGGCGGCUUACUGGACUGUAACUGACGUUGAGGCUCGAAAGCGUGGGGAGCAAACAGGAUUAGAUACCCGAGUAGUC